GACGAACGCUGGCGGCGUGCUUAACACAUGCAAGUCGAACGGAAAGGCCCUGCUUUUGUGGGGUGCUCGAGUGGCGAACGGGUGAGUAACACGUGAGUAACCUGCCCUUGACUUUGGGAUAACUUCAGGAAACUGGGGCUAAUACCGGAUAGGAGCUCCUGCUGCAUGGUGGGGGUUGGAAAGUUUCGGCGGUUGGGGAUGGACUCGCGGCUUAUCAGCUUGUUGGUGGGGUAGUGGCUUACCAAGGCUUUGACGGGUAGCCGGCCUGAGAGGGUGACCGGCCACAUUGGGACUGAGAUACGGCCCAGACUCCUACGGGAGGCAGCAGUGGGGAAUAUUGCACAAUGGGCGGAAGCCUGAUGCAGCAACGCCGCGUGCGGGAUGACGGCCUUCGGGUUGUAAACCGCUUUCGCCCGUGACGAAGCGUGAGUGACGGUAAUGGGUAAAGAAGCACCGGCUAACUACGUGCCAGCAGCCGCGGUGAUACGUAGGGUGCGAGCGUUGUCCGGAUUUAUUGGGCGUAAAGGGCUCGUAGGUGGUUGAUCGCGUCGGAAGUGUAAUCUUGGGGCUUAACCCUGAGCGUGCUUUCGAUACGGGUUGACUUGAGGAAGGUAGGGGAGAAUGGAAUUCCUGGUGGAGCGGUGGAAUGCGCAGAUAUCAGGAGGAACACCAGUGGCGAAGGCGGUUCUCUGGGCCUUUCCUGACGCUGAGGAGCGAAAGCGUGGGGAGCGAACAGGCUUAGAUACCCUGGUAGUCCACGCUGUAAACGGUGGGUACUAGGUGUGGGGUCCAUUCCACGGGUUCCGUGCCGUAGCUAACGCUUUAAGUACCCCGCCUGGGGAGUACGGCCGCAAGGCUAAAACUCAAAGGAAUUGACGGGGCCCCGCACAAGCGGCGGAGCAUGCGGAUUAAUUCGAUGCAACGCGUAGAACCUUACCUGGGUUUGACAUGGAUCGGGAGCGCUCAGAGAUGGGUGUGCCUCUUUUGGGGUCGGUUCACAGGUGGUGCAUGGCUGUCGUCAGCUCGUGUCGUGAGAUGUUGGGUUAAGUCCCGCAACGAGCGCAACCCUUGUUCACUGUUGCCAGCACGUUAUGGUGGGGACUCAGUGGAGACCGCCGGGGUCAACUCGGAGGAAGGUGGGGAUGACGUCAAGUCAUCAUGCCCCUUAUGCCCAGGGCUUCACGCAUGCUACAAUGGCUGGUACAGAGAGUGGCGAGCCUGUGAGGGUGAGCGAAUCUCGGAAAGCCGGUCUCAGUUCGGAUUGGGGUCUGCAACUCGACCUCAUGAAGUCGGAGUCGCUAGUAAUCGCAGAUCAGCAACGCUGCGGUGAAUACGUUCCCGGG
This 1343-nucleotide ribosomal RNA is filed under the name uncultured bacterium. Its description in RNAcentral is "16S ribosomal RNA". It matches the Rfam family "Bacterial small subunit ribosomal RNA", at positions 28 to 1378 of the family's 1533-position model. The record is from RNAcentral.